Molecule: long non-coding RNA, 3995 nt
Filed under: Nicotiana benthamiana
Lineage: Eukaryota; Viridiplantae; Streptophyta; Magnoliopsida; Solanales; Solanaceae
Description: long non-coding RNA (NBEN_LNC015661)
Source: RNAcentral
CAAAAAAGCACUAAAAGAACACACAUAUAGACAGAAAAGAAACGAGGAAAGCAUAAAAAUGGGGAGCUGAAGAAAAAAACAAAAACUCUCCCCAUCAUUUUGACCAUGGAAACUCCAUGAUUGUUCUCUGAUCCAGCAUCUUAAAGAUUCAACAUAAGCUCUUCCUUAACACCCCAAAUAACCAUGAAAAUCAUGUAAACAUUAACCUGCACCAGCCCCAAGAAAUCAUAAAAAUCAGCCAAAAAGUUCAGCUGAUACAGUCCCGAAACAGCACCAAAAAUGCCACCACAGAUUCGAGUUGAGUUGAUCGAGCUGUCCGUUUGCAAGUCCGACAUUCCGGUCCGUGUUCGGAUUCCCUUCGGCAUCGAAGCUUUUCGGUCCAGGUUUGGAUUCAUAUGUCGUUACUGUAAGGGGAAAGGCUAUCAAUCUUUGAAGUUAAUUUAUUAUUCUAAUUUUAAAAUCCUCUUCUUUUCAUCGUUAUUAGGCUUCAACGAUUGUGAUUGUUCUUCUUGUUUCGUUAUUUGUUUUCUUAGGAUGGUUCAAUUAAAAGUUUUCACUGAUAUCAUUGAUGCAGUAUUUGGGAACAAACACAAAUUAGUUACUCUAUUUUAUUUACUUAGCUUUAUAAACUAUAUGAUUUGUAUGUGAAUUGAUUUUGGGGAUGUUGGGCUAAAAGCUAAACAGGAAUUUUCUAUCAUGGGAUUACUAGUAGAAACAUCUGUUUUUGGUGAGUAUUUUAGACAUAACAAUAAUUUGAGCUGUGAAAGAUUUUUAUCAAUUCUCUAUUUUGCGUUACUAAUUUAAUCGCUAGUAGUAUGAUUAGGCUGACUACACUUGGGUAAGCAAGCCUUAAAAUUUUUGUUAGUUUCGAGGCAAGAGGUCGUUUCCUUAGUUAAAUUUAUCCGGGUAAUGCCGCGUAAUUUGUAUAUAUUUUAUUCGGGGUGUGCCCCAAAGUACUUGUAUUUGGAGGCCUAGAGUGAUACUCAUAGUAGUUUUAUUUAUUUUAUUUUUCUUUUAUUAGGCGGGAACAAACUCAAGCCUUUUGUGUGUUUGUUUUUCUUUUAUGUGUUUGUUUUUAUUUCAAUUUGAAUAUUUUAAAAACCAACUAGAUGAAGUGCGCAACCAUACUAGUUACGGGGAUUGGGGAGUGCCUAACAUCUUCUCCCUGAGUGUGAUGACCCGGCCGGUCAUCUUUGGAAUUUACGCCCCAUUUCCCCAUUAACUACUUCCCCUAAGUUCAUUUCGGCUAUUUUGGUUUGUCGGGACGUUCGGUGUGAGAAUUCGGAAUGUUUUGGGAUACUUAGUCCCUGAAUAAGAGCAUAAGUAUUGAAAAAUGGUCCGUAAUCGGAAUAGUAUGAAGACGACUACGGAAUGAAAAUUCAGUGGUUCCGUUAGCUCCGUAAGGUGAUUUCGGGGUUGGGGGCAUAUUCGGAAUGUGUUUUGGAUGUCCAUAGCUCAUUUAGGCUUAGGCUAGAAAUGCCAAAAGUUAUAAUCUUGAAGUUUCCGGUCCAAUAGUGAAUUUUUUAUCCCAGGGUCGGAACGGGGUUUCGAAUUUGCUGUAGCACUUUCAUGUCAUUCGGGAUGUUCGUGCAAAAUUUCAGGUCAAUCGGAUAUAUUUUGGUUAGGUGUUUGAUUGAAAGCGAGUUUGGUUGGAAUUUGAAGUUCUUAGGUUCAAAUUAUUGAUUAAUUCGAGUUUCUGGCGUUAUUUUAGGUGGUUUAAGUAUUGGUACAAGUUUGAAUGAUGUUAUGGGAUAUGUAUAAAGGUUUGAUUGAGGCCCCGAGGGCUUCGGGUGUGUUUUCUGACGCUCAAUGGAGCAUUUUUGGAGUUUGAAAUAUUGCAGAAAUCUCUUCAGAUUUUGCAGGCCAUUUUUUCCUUCGCGAUCACGUUCCCUCUCACGCGAUCGCAUAGAUCAAUCUUAGAGAGGCCCAAAUUCCUUAAUCGUGAUGGCAUGGAUUGGUUCGCAAUCACGUAACUCUACCUCUCCCUCUUACGCGUUCGCAUCUUAUCCCCCGCGUUCACGUAGUAGAAACUGAGCCGGUGACUCACUGGCCCAUUCCCUCUUCGAGUUCGCGUGCCUUCAUACGCGAUUGCGUAAGGCCAUCUUCUCCUCGUUCGAGAUUGCAUGCUUCUUCUCGCGAUCACAUAGGCCUUUUUCCUGGAGCGUCUAUUUUACUCUUCGUGAACACAGCCCUAUCUUCGCGGUCGGGAUUUACUAAUUACCUGGGCAGACUUAACAGUUCAAAAACGAGGGUUCUUCCAUUUUUAACAAAACUCAAGCUAGAGAGCUCAAAUUUGAGAUAUUUUUCGAUGGUUUUUUAGAAGCAACGAUUGGGUAACGAUUCCUUACUCCUCUAUGAUUAAUACCCAUUAAUCUAACCUCAAAUUCAACCUUUAAUUUUGUAUUUUGAAUGAAAAUUGGGGUAAAGUUCUUAGACGUAAUUGUGAGGAUUUGAGGGGGCAUUUGACCUCCGAUUUAGGAGAUUUUUAUAUGGUUAGACUCGUGAGAGUACGAAGUUUCUGAAAAUGUGAAAAUUAUUCAAUUCUGAGACGUUGGCCUGAGGGGAAUUUUGGUCAUUUUACCAAUUUUCGCAUCUUAGCUUUAAUUUUAAUAGUGUAAUUGGUCACUUGUGAUGUUAUUUAUAAUAUGUAAUUGGUUUGAAUAGAUUUGGGAUACUCGGAGUUGGAUAAUCGCUUCGAUCCCUUCAUUUAUGUGCCAGAAUAAAGAGAGAUUUGGUAGGAAAGUAGAAGAGACCGAUAAUCAAAGGGAGUGGGAAAGCUGCUGGCAAGGGCACCGUUUCAUAGUGAUUUUGUACUGGUUCGAGGUAAGUGGCUUGUGUAACCUUUUGUAGGGUACCUCUCCCCUUAGGGAUUCUUAUCUGCUGGUUCAAAAGCCUUGUACGCGAGGUGACGAGUGUGUACUUGUGCUAAUUGUUGAAAGAUCCACUUUACUUGAAUGGUUUAAACCGUGUUUCUCCGUUUAUUUGACUGAUUUCAAAUGCAAGAUUAAUCUUUUUAGUUAGAAAAGCAUGAUUAGAUAGAAUUAAUUGCUAAAUUACUUAUUUGCCUAAAUUGUAAUAUGUGAAGCAUGCUAGGUUAGUCAUACUUAAUUGUUGUUGUUCCAUAUUUGAUUUAUUCUGUUAAUUCUUGGUUGUGGUUGCGCAGGUAAAUUGGGACUACAAGUUCGAUUCCCGGAAGAUCCUCCAGGUAAUGAUAUGAUGGACUACAGGUUCGAUUCCCGAAAGAUCCUCCAGGUAUUGAUACAAUGGACUACGGGUUCAAUUGAGAUCCUCUAGGUAUUUAUAGGAUGGACUACUGGUUCAAUUCUUGAAAGAUCCUCCGGGUAUUGAUGUUAUGAACUACGGGUUCAAUUCCCGAAAGAUCCUCCAAGUCAUGUAUGAUGGACUAUGGGUUUAGUUCCCGGGAGAUCCUCCAAGUCUUGGUAUGAUGGACUACGGGUUCGAUUCCCGGGAGAUCCUCUAGGUAGUGAUAUCUUGUUGUGUUAUCUUCCUUACUUAGCUUAAUUGUCGUUGACUUGUAGCUUCUAUCUUAUUUCUAUUGUUGUUUUUCCUGAUUAUUCUCUAUCUUACAGUGUUCAUUAUUGUUAUCAUGUUUAUUCUUAGUAGGGCUCUGACUUUCCUCUCCAGUAUUCAACCGAGGUUAGGCUUGGAGCUUACUGAGUACCGCUGUGGUGUACUCAUACCUCUUCUGCGCAUGUCUUUCAUGCGCAGAUCCAGGUACUUCUGGUCAGGCACACUAUCAGUGAUUUAGGAGCUAUACUCUGAGACUUGAGGUAUGCAUCUUCCGCGUCCGCAGAUCCAAAGAGUCUCCAUCUCAUUCUACCUAUAAUUAGCUAGUUGCUAUUUCGUUCUUCUUGUAUUAGAAUAUUAUGGUGAUUAGAGCAUCGUAUGUUCUUUUCUAGCAUGUGUAGCCCAUGGGAUUCCGAAUUUUGGGAGUAUUUACAGUAUUUGAUAUUUCAACGUAUUGUGCCAGGCGU